UACGUAGGGCGCAAGCGUUGUCCGGAAUUAUUGGGCGUAAAGAGCUCGUAGGCGGUCUGUCGCGUCUGUUGUGAAAACUCGAGGCUCAACCUCGGGCUUGCAGUGGGUACGGGCAGACUAGAGUGUGGUAGGGGAGACUGGAAUUCCUGGUGUAGCGGUGAAAUGCGCAGAUAUCAGGAGGAACACCGGUGGCGAAGGCGGGUCUCUGGGCCGAAAUUGACGCUGAGGAGCGAAAGCGUGGGGAGCAAACAGG
This 253-nucleotide ribosomal RNA is filed under the name uncultured bacterium. Its description in RNAcentral is "partial 16S ribosomal RNA". It matches the Rfam family "Bacterial small subunit ribosomal RNA", at positions 524 to 776 of the family's 1533-position model. The record is from RNAcentral.